Molecule: unclassified non-coding RNA, 289 nt
Filed under: plant metagenome
Description: partial contains small subunit ribosomal RNA, internal transcribed spacer 1, and 5.8S ribosomal RNA
Rfam family: 5.8S ribosomal RNA (bases 241-289)
Source: RNAcentral
UUUCCGUAGGUGAACCUGCGGAAGGAUCUUUAAUGAGUUGUCAUGGGGUUCGAUGCUGGCAGCCAAUUUUUGGAUGCAUGUGCUUGCCCUAACAAUCAUCUUCCAAACACCUGUGCACAUUUUUGAGGGAGUCUUGAGUUGGUUGCCGCUCUUGGGUGAUUUUCUCACAUUCCCUUAAAUCAUUAUACGCUAUUAACAAUGUUGAACGUGCUCUGUGCCGCAAGGCUAUUAAUAUAAUACAACUUUUAACAACGGAUCUCUUGGCUCUCGCAACGAUGAAGAACGCAGC